This 925-nucleotide long non-coding RNA is filed under the name Homo sapiens (human). RNAcentral describes it as "non-protein coding lnc-TAS2R46-1:1". The record is from RNAcentral. Lineage: Eukaryota; Metazoa; Chordata; Mammalia; Primates; Hominidae.
AUGAUAUGUUUUCUGCUCAUCAUUUUAUCAAUUCUGGUAGUGUUUGCAUUUGUUCUUGGAAAUGUUGCCAAUGGCUUCAUAGCUCUAGUAGGUGUCCUUGAGUGGGUUAAGACACAAAAGAUCUCAUCAGCUGACCAAAUUUCUCACUGCUCUGGUGGUGUCCAGAGUUGGUUUACUCUGGGUCAUAUUAUUACAUUGGUAUGCAACUGUGUUUAAUUUGGCUUCACAUAGAUUAGAAGUAAGAAUUUUUGGUUCUAAUGUCUCAGCAAUAACCAAGCAUUUCAGCAUCUGGGUGUUACUAGCCUCAGCAUAUUUCAUUUGCUCAAGACUGCCAAUUUCUCCAACCUUAUUUUUCUCCACCUAAAGAAAAGGAUUAAGAAUGUUGGUUUGGUGAUGCUGUUGGGGCCCUUGGUAUUUUUCAUUUGUAAUCUUGCUCUGAUAACCACGGGUGAGAGUGUGUGGACAAAAGAAUAUGAAGGAAAUUUGUCUUGGAUGAUCAAAUUGAGGAAUGCAAUACAGCUUUCAAACUUGACUGUAACCAUGCCAGCAAACGUCACACCCUGCACUCUGACACUAAUAUCUUUUCUGCUGUUAAUCUAUUCUCCAUGUAAACAUGUCAAGAAGAUGCAGCUCCAUGGCAAAGGAUCUCAACAUCUCAGCACCAAGGUGCACAUAAAAGCUUUGCAAACUGUGAUCUCCUUCCUUAUGUUAUUUGCCAUUUACUUUCUGUGUCUAAUCACAUCAACUUGGAAUCCUAGGACUCAGCAGAGCAAACUUGUAUUCCUGCUUUACCAAACUCUUGGAUUCAUGUAUCUUUUGUUCCACUCAUUCAUCCUGACUAUGGGAAGUAGGAAGCCAAAACAGACCUUUCUUUCAGCUUUGUGACAGGUGAAAUGCUGAGUGAAAGGACAGAAACCCUCAACUC